CGGGUCAUAGCGCAGUCUGGUAGCGCAUCCGUCUGGGGGACGGAAGGUCGUGGGUUCAAAUCCCGCUGACCCGACCA
Molecule: transfer RNA, 77 nt
Filed under: SAR116 cluster bacterium
Lineage: Bacteria; Pseudomonadati; Pseudomonadota; Alphaproteobacteria; Puniceispirillales (SeqCode)
Description: tRNA-Pro
Rfam family: tRNA
About the family: Transfer RNA (tRNA) molecules are approximately 80 nucleotides in length. Their secondary structure includes four short double-helical elements and three loops (D, anti-codon, and T loops).
Source: RNAcentral